RNAcentral lists this transfer RNA (72 nucleotides) under Bos taurus (domestic cattle). It matches the Rfam family "tRNA". Rfam says of the family: Transfer RNA (tRNA) molecules are approximately 80 nucleotides in length. Their secondary structure includes four short double-helical elements and three loops (D, anti-codon, and T loops). The record is from Rfam by way of RNAcentral. RNAcentral also lists the same sequence under 2 other names. Lineage: Eukaryota; Metazoa; Chordata; Mammalia; Artiodactyla; Bovidae.
UCCCAUGUAGCUCACUCAGUAAAGAAUCUGCCUGCAAUGCAGGAGUCCCAGGUUCGAUCCCUGGGUUGGGAA